AUUGAACGCUGGCGGCAGGCCUAACACAUGCAAGUCUUGCGAGCGGCGGACGGGUGAGUAAUGUAUGGGGAUCUGCCUGAUGGAGGGGGAUAACUACUGGAAACGGUAGCUAAUACCGCAUACCAUCCGAUGGACCCAUAUGGGAUUAGCUUGUAGGUAAGGUAACGGCUUACCUAGGCGACGAUCCCUAGCUGGUCUGAGAGGAUGAUCAGCCACACGGGGACUGAGAAACGGCCCAGACUCCUACGGGAGGCAGCAGUGGGGAAUAUGGCCAAAUGGGCGAAAGCAUGAUGCAGCCAUGCCGGGUGUAUGAAGAAGGCCUUCGGGUUGUAAAGUACUUUCAGUCGGGAGGCGUUACCGACAGAAGAAGCACCGGCUAACUCCGUGCCAGCAGCCGCGGUAAUA
This 405-nucleotide ribosomal RNA is filed under the name uncultured bacterium. RNAcentral's name for it is "partial 16S ribosomal RNA". It matches the Rfam family "Bacterial small subunit ribosomal RNA", at positions 30 to 525 of the family's 1533-position model. The record is from RNAcentral.